AUGGCAUUCCACGACGAGGCGCCGCUGCUGCUCAGGAUCAACACCGCCAGAGGCGGCCACAUGGGCGGAGGCGAGUGCGACGAGGCGGAGAACCAGCGGUGGCCGCCGUGGCUCAAGCCGCUGCUGGCGACCAGCUUCUUCGGGCAAUGCAAGAUGCACGCCGACGCCCACAAGUGCGAGUGCAACAUGUACUGCCUCGACUGCGUCAACGGCGCGCUCUGCUCCCAGUGCCUCGCCUACCACCACGGCCACCACGCCAUCCAGAUAAGGAGGUCCUCGUACCACGACGUGAUCCGCGUGUCGGAGAUCCAGAAGGUGCUGGACAUCACCGGCGUGCAGACCUACAUCAUCAACAGCGCGCGCGUGGUGUUCCUCAACGAGCGCCCGCAGCCCAGGCCCGGCAAGGGCGUCACCAACACCUGCGACGUCUGCGAGCGCAGCCUCCUCGACACCUUCCGCUUCUGCUCCCUCGGAUGCAAGAUCGUAGGCACCUCCGGCGAGUUCCGCGGCCGGAAGAGGCACGCCGGCGGCAAGAAGAUGAAGCUGAAGCUGAAGAAGGCGGCGGCGUCGGACUCGGACGACUCGUCCACCAUCACCAGCGGCGGGAGCGACAAGAGCAGCGUGGUGCAGAGCUUCUCCCCGUCGACCCCGCCGGCCACCGCCAACAGCUACCGCUCCGCCAAGCGGCGCAAGGGCAUCCCGCACCGCUCGCCCUUCGGCAGCCUCAUCGUGGAGUUCUAG
Molecule: ribosomal RNA, 741 nt
Filed under: Triticum aestivum (bread wheat)
Lineage: Eukaryota; Viridiplantae; Streptophyta; Magnoliopsida; Poales; Poaceae
Description: partial small subunit ribosomal RNA
Source: RNAcentral